UUCCUCACACCAUAAAUACACGUUCACUAUUUUUCUCUGCAAUUUCCGAUCGCAUUUUCCCGCACUGAUCCACAGUAGACACAAGAUCGUUGUACGCCAAUGGCGAAGAAGGAGUUUCUAGAGGAUCAUCAAGAGGAAGCCGAUGGCGCAAACGCUAAACAACUAUCUCGCGAUGACUUCCCUCCAAACUUCUUCUUCGGCGUUGCUACUUCCGCUUAUCAGGUUGAAGGAGCUGCCGAGGAGGGAGGAAGAGGUCCUAGCAUCUGGGAUGAAUUUUCACAUAUUAAGGGCAAAAUUCUUGAUGGCAGCACUGGUGAUGUGGCUGUGGAUCAAUAUCACAGAUACAAGGAAGAUGUUGAACUUAUAGCAAAAUUGGGAUUUGAUGCUUACCGUUUUUCAAUAUCAUGGUCCCGCAUAUUUCCUGAUGGUUUGGGCACCAAAGUCAAUGUUGAAGGGAUUAGUUACUACAAUAAUCUAAUCAAUGCACUUCUCGAAAAGGGAAUUCAGCCUUAUGUAACAUUGUACCAUUGGGAUCUUCCUUUGCAUCUUCAUGAGGCAAUUGGAGGGUGGUUGAAUAGAGAAAUUGUAAAUUACUUUGCAAUCUACGCAGAAACUUGUUUCGCAAGUUUUGGUGAUAGAGUAAAGAACUGGAUUACAAUUAAUGAGCCUCUUCAAACUGCCGUAAAUGGAUAUGGAAAUGGUAUCUUUGCUCCAGGAAGAUGGGAAAAUUCAUCAGUUGAACAAUAUUUGGUUGCACACCACCAAAUCUUGGCCCAUUCAACUGCUGUAUCAAUCUAUCGAAAGAAGUAUAAGGAACAUCAGGGAGGGCAAAUAGGCCUGUCUGUAGAUUGUGAAUGGUCUGAAGCUAAUUCAAGUAGUGUUGAAGACACGACUGCUGCAUCAAGACGCCUUGAUUUUCAUCUCGGGUGGUACCUGCACCCAAUAUAUUAUGGAGAUUAUCCUGAAGUUAUGCGUGAACAACUUGGAGAUAACCUUCCGAAAUUCACUGAAGAAGAAAAGGAGUUGAUUAUGAAUAGUGUGGACUUUGUGGGUCUGAAUCACUACACAUCAAGGUUUAUUGCUGAUGUAGCAGAGAGCCCUGAUCAAGGUGAUUUCUACAAAGCACAAAAGAUGGCAAGACUUGUUCAAUGGGAAGACGGUGAGCUUAUUGGCGAGAAGGCGGCAUCAGAAUGGCUCUACAUUGUUCCUUGGGGCAUCCGAAAGGUUCUAAAUUACAUAACACAGAAAUACAAUAAUCCAACUAUCAUCAUAACUGAGAACGGCAUGGAUGACGAAGAAAAUGACCUUUGCCCACUUCAAGAUAUGCUUGAUGACAAACUGAGAGUUAGUUAUUAUAAGAAGUAUCUGGCUGAAGUAGCUAAGGCAAUCAGGGAUGGAGCAGACGUUAGGGGUUACUUUGCAUGGUCAUUAUUGGACAACUUUGAGUGGGCUCAGGGAUACACCAAGCGAUUUGGAUUGGUUUAUGUAGACUACAAUAAUCACCUUACUCGCCACCCUAAAUCUUCUGCUUACUGGUUCCUGCGCUUCCUCAAAGGUUCUGAACAGAAAAGUGGGAAGCAAGAGUGAAACACUCCCUUUUAAGUUUUAACUUUCAUUAUUUAGGGGGCGAAAUGUUGGUUGAAGCAGGCCCCAGAAGGAUUUGUGAUUAGAGAUUGGAAAAACUUCUCUCCAGGGGUCUGUUUGUUUUUUGAGAAUUGAGAUGUCUGAAAUCUUUAGAUGUUCGGAAUCUUCAGAUGCCUGGAAUUUCAGAUGUCCGACAUCUUCAGAUGCCUGGAAUUUCAGAUGUCCGACAUCUUCAGAUGACCACGUUUUGUUUCGUAGACCGAGAAUAUCUAGAUAGCCACGUUUGUUUCGUAGGAUUUAUUCUUCUAAAUUUAUAU
Molecule: non-coding RNA, 1901 nt
Organism: Momordica charantia (bitter melon)
Lineage: Eukaryota; Viridiplantae; Streptophyta; Magnoliopsida; Cucurbitales; Cucurbitaceae
Source: RefSeq, a predicted model, not a curated record